Molecule: non-coding RNA, 240 nt
Organism: Vicia faba (fava bean)
Lineage: Eukaryota; Viridiplantae; Streptophyta; Magnoliopsida; Fabales; Fabaceae
Source: the annotation of a GenBank genome assembly
AUGGUCAACUUAUUCCCAAUACUUGGAACUCAAUCAAUCUACGAUAUUACAGAUGAUCGGUAUGAGGGAAGAUGCUUGCCUCCCUAUGGGUUAACUACACUACUGUACUUCCAUAGGAAGAUCCUUAUUGCCCUACGGGGUAAUUAUAAUGAUCAUUACUGUUUCCUCCAAAGUCAAACGCGAACAUUUGAAUCUGCAUCUCCGUCUUCACCGCCGUCGACUCCAUUUCCGCUUCUAUAG